UUCUACUUCUAGAAAGAAGGCAGAAUCUAGGAUUUCUGCUCAGGGUGCACAUUACUGCAGAGGCGAGUGGCACUCCAGGAGCAUUUUGAUGACUUAUUUUUAUGUGUGAGCGAGUUGAUUGAAAAUCCUCCUAGCUCCCACUUUACCUGGCCAUUUGGUGCUUGACUUUUGUCUUUGAGUGGAGCAGAACUACUGAUGAUAAUGGCAGCAGUGACUUCAGUUAAAGAAUCACAGGGACCACCUGAGACUUUCUGCAGCUCCGUGAUUUCAGCUUUAUGACCCUUAAUUGACAUUUCAAAAAGGCUUUCCUUACCAUGUGCUGAUUGAAAAAUAAAUAGUUUAGCAAAGAGAGGUCCUUCUUUCCACGAAUUUGGCCCCACUGGCCACUUAAAUAGUGUGUGUUUAGGUGAAGUACCUUUACUUCUGUGGGAGGAAACAAAGACUUUUUAAAACCACAUUAUUGCUUCAGCCCCAGAAGCUGAGAAGAAAGAGAACAGAUGGGUGGCUCUUCUCAAAGAAUGGUGCCUUCAUCUGGAUUUCCUCUUCUUAAACAUUUAUCUUCUUGUUCCUUGAAGGCUUUCAGGAAUUGUUAAUUCCACAGUGGCUGCAUGGUAACUGUUGAUUGGUGGUGGUUUAUUUUGGUGAGUGUGUCCAACAGAAGUACACAAAAGGAAGAUUCUAACCCCAAGAUGAUGUAGCUCUUGAAGAAAGCAGGAGAGACUUCUGGGACUUAUGAUGAUAAAGGUGGGUGUUGGUGGGGGGGAAAUGGCAUGGAACAAGUUUCAAGAGAGAAGAGUUUGUUUAGUAAUGAGGCAAAAAAUUGUUUCUGGACACAAGAGAUUAAGUUUCAUAUUUGCAAUCUAGGAAGUAUAGUGUAGAGAGAAAGAUCAUGGACUCCUACCCCAGACGCUGG
This 913-nucleotide long non-coding RNA is filed under the name Pan troglodytes (chimpanzee). Its description in RNAcentral is "long non-coding RNA NONPTRT001303". Lineage: Eukaryota; Metazoa; Chordata; Mammalia; Primates; Hominidae. The record is from RNAcentral.